AUGUUAAGGCAAGCAUCAACUACAUAUACUCCACCAAUAUUCAAGAUGUUUCAGGAACAAGUGCUUCGGACCUUAAACUAUGAUACAUUCCUUUGUGAUGACAGUGACACCGAGGAGAAGGUUUACAAAGUAAAAUUUCAUGGUACAGAGCGUGAUCAUGUUGUUAAAAUUUUUCCAAAAGAAGAAAAGGUCAAUUGCAGUUGCAAGAAGUUUGAAUUUGCUGGAAUUCUUUGCUCUCAUUCCUUGAAGGUACUUGACAUUAAUAAUAUCAAGCACAUCCCUCAACAGUACAUCUUGAAAAGAUGGACAAUUGAUGCAAAAGUUUUGGAUAUAACAAGCAACUGCAACCUGCAUGAAGACCGCAAAACAAUACUGACAAAACGCUAUAAAGAGUUGUGCAGAAUGUUUAUCCAAAUAGCUGCUCGAGCCGCAGAGUCUGAAGAGUCAUACUUGAUGGCUGCUAAUUAUGCAGAGAAAUUAGCAGAAGAGGUGGAGAAAUGUCUAAAACAUAGAUCUGAUCCAGAUACAGGUAACUCUGUUUGUUCACAAGGUAUGUACAUUCAGUUUUAUGCUCUCAUCAAGCUUAAAUUUAUAUUUACUUUUAUAGUUGGAGACUCAAACAAUAUCACGACUACAAGUUCAGAACAAAAUGAGAGGCCUACCAAGCCAAAAGGAAUGAAGGUUAAGGAGAAGACGGCUCGAGGAUCAGACAGACAUCCAGAUAUAUGUAACUCCCUUGGCACAAGGUCUGUAAGUUUAGUUUUAUGA
This 768-nucleotide ribosomal RNA is filed under the name Triticum aestivum (bread wheat). Its description in RNAcentral is "partial small subunit ribosomal RNA". The record is from RNAcentral. Lineage: Eukaryota; Viridiplantae; Streptophyta; Magnoliopsida; Poales; Poaceae.